AUUGACGGCUGGCGGCAGGCCUAACACAUGCAAGUCGAACGGUAACAGGAAGAAGCUUGCUUCUUUGCUGACGAGCGGCGGACGGGUGAGUAAUGUCUGGGAAACUGCCUGAUGGAGGGGGAUAACUACUGGAAACGGUAGCUAAUACCGCAUAACGUCGCAAGACCAAAGAGGGGGACCUUCGGGCCUCUUGCCAUCGGAUGUGCCCAGAUGGGAUUAGCUUGUUGGUGGGGUAACGGCUCACCAAGGCGACGAUCCCUAGCUGGUCUGAGAGGAUGACCAGCCACACUGGAACUGAGACACGGUCCAGACUCCUACGGGAGGCAGCAGUGGGGAAUAUUGCACAAUGGGCGCAAGCCUGAUGCAGCCAUGCCGCGUGUAUGAAGAAGGCCUUCGGGUUGUAAAGUACUUUCAGCGGGGAGGAAGGGAGUAAAGUUAAUACCUUUGCUCAUUGACGUUACCCGCAGAAGAAGCACCGGCUAACUCCGUGCCAGCAGCCGCGGUAAUACGGAGGGUGCAAGCGUUAAUCGGAAUUACUGGGCGUAAAGCGCACGCAGGCGGUUUGUUAAGUCAGAUGUGAAAUCCCCGGGCUCAACCUGGGAACUGCAUCUGAUACUGGCAAGCUUGAGUCUCGUAGAGGGGGGUAGAAUUCCAGGUGUAGCGGUGAAAUGCGUAGAGAUCUGGAGGAAUACCGGUGGCGAAGGCGGCCCCCUGGACGAAGACUGACGCUCAGGUGCGAAAGCGUGGGGAGCAAACAGGAUUAGAUACCCUGGUAGUCCACGCCGUAAACGAUGUCGACUUGGAGGUUGUGCCCUUGAGGCGUGGCUUCCGGAGCUAACGCGUUAAGUCGACCGCCUGGGGAGUACGGCCGCAAGGUUAAAACUCAAAUGAAUUGACGGGGGCCCGCACAAGCGGUGGAGCAUGUGGUUUAAUUCGAUGCAACGCGAAGAACCUUACCUGGUCUUGACAUCCACGGAAGUUUUCAGAGAUGAGAAUGUGCCUUCGGGAACCGUGAGACAGGUGCUGCAUGGCUGUCGUCAGCUCGUGUUGUGAAAUGUUGGGUUAAGUCCCGCAACGAGCGCAACCCUUAUCCUUUGUUGCCAGCGGUCCGGCCGGGAACUCAAAGGAGACUGCCAGUGAUAAACUGGAGGAAGGUGGGGAUGACGUCAAGUCAUCAUGGCCCUUACGACCAGGGCUACACACGUGCUACAAUGGCGCAUACAAAGAGAAGCGACCUCGCGAGAGCAAGCGGACCUCAUAAAGUGCGUCGUAGUCCGGAUUGGAGUCUGCAACUCGACUCCAUGAAGUCGGAAUCGCUAGUAAUCGUGGAUCAGAAUGCCACGGUGAAUACGUUCCCGGGCCUUGUACACACCGCCCGUCACACCAUGGGAGUGGGUUGCAAAAGAAGUAGGUAGCUUAACCUUCGGGAGGGCGCUUACCACUUUGUGAUUCAUGACUGGGGUGAAGUC
This 1469-nucleotide ribosomal RNA is filed under the name uncultured bacterium. Its description in RNAcentral is "bacterial SSU rRNA". It matches the Rfam family "Bacterial small subunit ribosomal RNA". The record is from RNAcentral.